GAACUUGGAGGAAAAUUUAACUGGACAAAUGUAGGAAAAGUGUAAUAGGAUCAUAGAAUUGACGUAUAUACAUUGAAUAACACGUGAUUCACUUUAUAGGAUGACUUUUUGUCAUGUAUCGAAUAACUGUAAUAUAUGGAAAAGCUACUCGUCCUUUUCAACAGUGUCAAAAGUUCAGUUUUUUAUAAUUGGAAUAAAUUGUUGUAUGUAUCUAAAGGGUUACCUAUACAGCGGAUGUAAAUGCGUCUCAAGAAACUCUCAAUAUAUUCUAACAAUAGUACGUACAAGUCCAUAAUAAAUAACUCACAUUGGGACGAAUUAAAAAUAAUUAAAUAAGGAACCACUGCCAGAAAUGCCAAACUGUUGCACCGAAAAGAUUCUAGACAUAUUCUGGCGAUAAUAUAAUAUCAGAAUACAAUCUUCGCAUUUGCCAAAUUUCGAGCGUAAAACAUAUUUCCACGAAAUCCACCUAUCGUUAAAUCAAACUAGUAAAGUUUCAGCUUCGUCCACAAAACGACCAGCGAAGAUCGAAUUGCAGCGAAGCAGGAAUAUUCGAGGAAAUGCCUCGUAUCCGGUGUCGCCAUUAUUUCGCGUUUUAGCCUCGUUUCGGCUUCCGGCAGGCUGUGAAAGGCUCGUGUCAGGAAAACGGAAGAGCCGUUGACAAAAGGAAAAAAUUACAAGGAUGAACGUUCAGAAGUAUCGCCGAGAGUUUUGUCAAGUUUUACAAAAAAAGUAUGCGACGUGCGGCGUCCUGCGAUGUGAAGACUCUUUUUUCUCAACUAUCAGCCGGUUUUCGACCGUUGUUCAACCCCUACUUGUUCGUUCGUUCCUCCUUGAUCUCGCGAUCUUAGUUACGUGCUCCUUUGUUGCGAUCGAUCAUCUUUCAGCAACCUUGGAACUUUUCCGACUCGAGCUCACGUAACGAAGAUAUUUUCGGAACCAGUCCGCCCUUUCUGGCUUGAUAAUUUUAUUGCUUGACGUAUGCGAGUUUUCGAUGCCUGUUAACGUCGUUCGGCUCGAGAGCAGUCGAUCGAUCGAAUCGCAUUUCUCCGUUUCUUCUAUAUUUUCCUGCAUAUUUUUGUCACCGUAACACGCACGUGGGAGUGCACUCUCACGCGCGUAUAACGGCCGUUUGGCACGGCUAGCAAUUACCGACAAGUAGCAGGCAGUUGACGAAGGAGCGUGGAUCGUUGAGAAGCUAUCGAUUUUACAAGAUUUUCGUUGCAACGAGAUUUCGUAGCAUUCCAAGUGUCUGAAUCGAAUUAAAGCAAUGUAAUUAUGUGUCGAGUCUGCUGUAGUCUUUGAAAUUUCAUGUGGAAGUCUCGGUAUUGUUUUGGAAUUAAUAAAAAGAUUUCGAACGUUUUAAGAGACAAUGUAGUAUACGAUUGAAACAAGAAGUCAUAUGCACUGACGGUGAUUUGUCCGUACUCUGUACAGAAUUUCAGAAAUUUUCAUAGUGAUUCUAUAGGGAGCGGACGAAAGCGAGUUAGAAAAUGUACACGGAAUCGAGCAACAGUGGAGCAACAGUGGAGAAACGGUGGAGGCAACGGUGGAGCAACAAUCGAGCAACAGUGGAACAACGAUAACAUGAAGAAAAGGUAUCGAUCGAUUAAAAGGAUGGCAAAUUUCACUGUGAGGAAGAUCUUUAAGCUAUCAAAUGUCUGGAAACUGGAAUUUAAAUACGGGAUAUGAUUAAUUAACACGAAAACAAUUUAUUAAGUUAUUAAAAGCCAUUCGAACAAACAUAUUUACGCCAUUCAGUUUCAUCGACACAACGAAAUCGUAUCUCUCGAUCUAAACCAAUCGAUCGUCCGACAAAAGGUACCGAUACUUGAAGAGUGGAACGAUAAAAACGUGCAUUAGGUUGGCACACCAGCCAGUUUGGAUUUCCAACUAGAAGCUAGCCUUUUCGCGGGCCAAAGACGACGAGGCUAACAAAAGUGAUAAAGGACCGCAAGGGUGCAACCCGUAUAUUUACGGCAUCACGUCGCUUUAUUAUCCCUUUUAAGAGUGAGAGGGAAAGAGAGAGAGAGAGAGAGAGAGAGAGAGAAAUUCCGGGUCUGAAAUGUAGGUGUUUUGCCUGAUUUUAGGGACUUGAUAUUUCUAUCCUUGUUAGAUGCGUAUAAAAUGUACGGCGAUGUAAAAAUGUACGGAUGUACGAGGGUUGAGAGAAAGAUGGAGAGUGAGAAAGAGAGCGAAAGAGAGGGAAAGAGACAGACAGACAGUGGAAAAAAAGACGCGUUACCCUUCAACAAGCCUCCAUUACGUGAUUGACGUGGGUUCCGCCGAAAGGGAAACAGUGGCGUUAAAGCGUCGCAUUGUACGGUGUCAGUUCGAAGUGAAAAUCGAAGAAAAAGAAACAGAGGAGAUCACUUGCACUUUCGGCUGAAGACCGAACGAAGAUCAAUCGAGGACCAAUCAAAGACCAACUAAGAACAAAAUGCUGAGCGUGCUAGCUGUCGUUUCGCGCGAGUAAUGCUGAAAGGACCAGAAUCUGUGAGUAUCCGGUGCUAGGAUGAUAUUACGGCGCGUUCCGUGCAGAGGAUAGGUUGGUCUGGCAUUAUAGAUAACGCGUAGAGAUCUAUCUGUUGGACCUUGGAGGCGAUGAGGAUUUCUUUUUUUCGCCAAUGUACCAGGAAUGCAACGAAUUUAUGAAUAUCGUAUUACAAUAUUAGAAAUUGUUAUAGAUUGAACGGUAAUAUUGUGCACGUUACGUAUUACGAAAGUGACAACAUGGAUGAUUUACAAGUUUGAAAUUACAAGCAUGGAAGUUGCGAAUGGCGUAAUAAAUGAAGCAAAUUGGAAAUAAGGAAUUUUUUCGAGUAUAAGUUUUAACAUUUGGGAGUAGCUUUAGAGAUUGCAAAAUAUUUAACUUCUAAACCGAAUAGUAAGAAUUUCGACUAGUGUAAUUUGAAACGCUCUUUAUUUUCACUCAACCAAUGAUCCUAAAAUCCAUUCAAUCGAAGACAAGUUCGACCAUUAUACUUCCUACUCCAUCUUUACGUUGUUAUAUAUAUCAUAUUUUCAUAAUUUGAUCCAACAUAUGAAGAAUAAAAAGACAAAAAAAUGUUAUACAUAUAGGACAUAGAUAGUUUUUGCCUCUUUGCCUACAGUGCUUCAGUACUACUUUUACGAAAUUUGGGUUGUUCAAAUCCUACGAGUUCUCGUUGUAGAAUACAAAAUCAUUGACUUAAAAUUGAUAAAAAUUGACUUAAAAUUAGAUUCCAUAGCGAAACCAUUUUUCACACGCUUGCCAUUCGCUUUUAUCCAGGAACGUCUGUUCGUCGAGAUACCAAACUCGAUUAUUCGUCUGAUUCCUGUUUCCCUUUUCACCCCUUUCAACCUAUUCCUACCGUUCAUUUAACAAUGGCGAAAAUUCGGUUAGAUCCGUCCCUAUCCAGACUUUGCGCGGCCAGCUCCAUCAAAGCGUAAACUUCUCCUCGGAAAUAAUGCUAUUCAUUGGAAAGGCGAUGCGUUUCGUUGCGACGCGGGGAUUGAAACAAUCCCUUCGUGACCACGACCAAUAGUCGAUCGGAUAAUGAACUCAUUGCGCAUAGAAUAUCGCACGAAGCUACUGGCGGAAUGAUUCUGUUCGAGAAUCAUUCAAUAGAUGUACUUUGAAGAAGAAUGCAGACAAUUGGCCACAUUUCGAACGCUGAUUUUGUGGAAAGUGGAUAAUCGAGCCGUUUAACGACGACAAUAGGCCGGUGGAAAUAAUUAAUGGAGCUUAGUGGAUUUUCGGGGGGUUAAUCGGAAUGAAGAGGCAUAUCGCGUGCUCGACGAUUGUUAUCGAGCGGUUGUUAUCGGUAACGUUUAACGAGUCAAGGAUGAAACGCGAUACGGGAUGGUCGAUUCAAAUUAUAUCCGCGGCUGUUUCUAGAAUCGAGUUGCGUAUAAUUCGUGAAAUUGUUGUAUCGCUUGUUGGUAUUUCCAUAUUAAUAAAUACCGUCCAGUAGAUACUUUCAAUUUUCUCGUCAUCUACAGCCUACAUACACCAUUUCCUUUAAAAUUUCACGCGCAAAUAUGUUAACGGCAACACACUUUUAUGCCGAUAUAAUACCAAAUAGUCCGACACUAUUUAGCCUUACGAUAAUUCAUGACUGCGUCGAGGGCUCAAUAAGGAUCUCGGUUGAAUGCUUGAGUGAAUGUUUGAAAAACCGAUCGAGCUAUGAGGUGCCUAUGACGUGAUUGACAUGACCAGAGAAUACGUGAAACAGUUUGACCAAUGAUAGAUUGAUAAGGAGAUAAACCGAUGGCACAAGCGACCCGACCAAUAUCCACGAUGAAUAUAAUAUAUAAAACAAAGAAUCUAUUCCUUAUUUAAUGCAUCUAGCCACGGAGCAGGAAAGAUAGAGAUGCCUUUUGGUAAGCGCAUUGCUAGGGACCGCACGGAUCUUACCCCAGAACUCUAAGAAGCGCCAAGUGCUUAUCAAAAAUUCAUUCUUAACAAAUUUUUUAUUUUCGUUUUUCGAAAUUUACUACUAUUCGCGUACUAAAGUUGGAUUCAUAAACAUUUUCGAUAGAAAGUAGAGAUCUAUAAAAAGGAUCGGUAGACUUUA
This is a long non-coding RNA of Bombus pyrosoma, 4559 nucleotides long. RefSeq lists it as uncharacterized. The record is from RefSeq and is a predicted model, not a curated record. Lineage: Eukaryota; Metazoa; Arthropoda; Insecta; Hymenoptera; Apidae. The transcript has 3 exons.